AAACCAUUAAUUUCUUUAAAAAUUUGUUAUGGCUACUCCAAUUUUACUUCUAAUGUGUUACUGUAUAAUUUUAUUUGUAACUCUGAAAAUAACGGUAUCACACAAUGAUGUUACAGGGAAGAUUAGUAUGACUUUGUAUAUUAUACAUUUACAUGUGUGAGGAAAAAUAUUCAAUGCUAAAUGUACCAAAGCAGUAUCUUUCACUACUACAGAAUAAGAACUAGAAAUUAAGGACAAUCUGACCUUCUCAAGUUUGUCUUAAAAGGCACACAUUGAUGGAAUAAAUGGACUUUUCAUAAGGUGGACUUCAUCUCUUUUCUUUCUGAAUAUCUUGUUCCCAGUCUCUAGUGCCAGAAAAAAAGGAAACAGAACCUCCCCACCCCCAACAGACUUGACAUCUGAACUCUUGAAAUCUUGUAAAGUUUAAUUAACAUUCCCUCUUUACAGCUUUUCUCUCUUAUUUUAUAAUGGUUUACCCCAAUUUUUCUCACUUGUCUUCGAAGUCCAGAUGCUUAAAUAUUGGUUGCUUUGGGUUUUAAUGGUUAUUGCAGAACCAUGGAAUUGUAAAUUUGAUCUCAAAUUUUUAAGAUGUGACAGCUUGAUUAUUUUACAAGGCUAGAGAGCACUGGUUCAAGUCUGUAAUUUUUAAGAAUCAAAACCAUUUUCCCAUUGAUGUUUGAAAUGUGUGGUCUAUAGCUAUUUAUGAGUAAUUUACAUCUGUUGUCUCUUUGUGCCUCAAAUCACAGAGAAACUGGAGCUGAAUCUCCUGGGACUGCUAUUAAUAUCAUCGCCAUGCAGACAGCUUUCCCUUCAUCCAGCAAUUUAUACUGCAAUGUAACAUAACAGCAUUGGAGCAGGACAGGGCACCUAGAAAGUUUAGCAAUGACUUAUAAGAUAGCCCUUUAAAACAAGCAACUUAUGCAAAUUGCUUGUCCAACAGAAAAUGGCUACUUUAUUUUGUUGUACUAAUUUUUAAACUUAGGAACUUAUGCUUGCUAACUAAGCAGGUAUCCUACCACUUGAACCAUAUUUCCAACCCAUUUUUGUUUUCGUUAUUUUUAUCAGAUAGGUUCUCGUAUUUUUGCUCAGGAUUGUCCUCAAACUACAAUCCUCCCACCUAUGCCAAUCAUGUAGCUGUGAUUACAAGCAUGCACUACCAUUCUUGGACCAAAAUAUGACUUGUGGAUAAAAAACUAUGUGGCAGGAACUGAGAAUUCUUUAAACUAGGACCAGGGAAAUGUAACUUCUUUUACUGAAGAAGUGAAUGGAAGAGCAAUCUGGGUAUUGUGACAUAUGAGAUUCAAUGUGAUGAUUCCCACUGAGCUAUUAUAGGAAUAAAACGAGGUGCUUUAGGACAAACUAACUGCCUUUCAUUACAUUGGGAAAUGAAGCUAGAAAUACACUAGAAAUCUCUUCCAUGGCUUCUAGAGUAAAAACAUCAUUACCUUAACUUUGUGAAGGGUAGUGGUCCACAAAAUAAAAUUUGCUAGUGGGAUAAAAAGUUGGUGCAUUUUGGUUUUAUUUUUUAUUUAUUGUUUUUUUUUUUUGCGUUUAAUAUAUGUCCUGUGUGCAGACCUCACUAGAAACCACCAGUUUUUUGAUCUUCUCUUUUGUGCAUUUGUUACUUGGUCUUCAAUUGUAUUCUUUAAUUCAGAUGAAUUAAAGAAUUCAAUUCCUUAUCUACCAAAUGGGGAAAUAAUAAUAUCAUGGGAUUUUUAAAAAGGAUGUUUAUGCUUUAAAAUGUUAAGACUGUAGGUGCAGAGAAAGAACUAUAUAAAUAUUUGGCUAGAUGUUCCCUGGGGGAAUUGGCAUGGUGGCUCACUCCUGUGGUCAUGGCUAUUUUGGAGAUAGGAAUUAGAAGGACAGUACUCAAAGG
Long non-coding RNA from Perognathus longimembris pacificus (Pacific pocket mouse), 1876 nucleotides. RefSeq lists it as uncharacterized. NCBI's taxonomy places the organism in Eukaryota, Metazoa, Chordata, Mammalia, Rodentia, Heteromyidae. The record is from RefSeq and is a predicted model, not a curated record. The transcript is spliced from 2 exons.